CGAUGAAGCCGGGGCUUUUUGUUUUGGUGGAUUAGUGGCGAACGGGUGAGUAAUACGUGAGUAACCUGCCCUUGUCUUUGGGAUAAGCCUGGGAAACUGGGUCUAAUACCGGAUAUUCUGCUUUUGCCGCAUGGUGGGGGUUGGAAAGAUUUUUUGGAUGGGGAUGGGCUCACGGCCUAUCAGCUUGUUGGUGGGGUGAUGGCCUACCAAGGCGUCGACGGGUAGCCGGCCUGAGAGGGUGACCGGCCACAUUGGGACUGAGAUACGGCCCAGACUCCUACGGGAGGCAGCAGUGGGGAAUAUUGCACAAUGGACGCAAGUCUGAUGCAGCGACGCCGCGUGGGGGAUGAAGGCUUUCGGGUUGUAAACUCCUUUCAGUACAGAAGAAGCAUUUUUGUGACGGUAUGUGCAGAAGAAGCGCCGGCUAACUACGUGCCAGCAGCCGCGGUAAUACGUAGGGCGCGAGCGUUGUCCGGAAUUAUUGGGCGUAAAGAGCUCGUAGGCGGUUUGUUGCGCCUGCUGUGAAAGACCGGGGCUUAACUUCGGGGUUGCAGUGGGUACGGGCAGACUAGAGUGUGGUAGGGGUAAUUGGAAUUCCUGGUGUAGCGGUGGAAUGCGCAGAUAUCAGGAGGAACACCGAUGGCGAAGGCAGGUUACUGGGCCAUUACUGACGCUGAGGAGCGAAAGCGUGGGUAGCGAACAGGAUUAGAUACCCUGGUAGUCCACGCUGUAAACGUUGGGCACUAGGUGUGGGGCCUUUUCCACGGGUUCUGCGCCGUAGCUAACGCUUUAAGUGCCCCGCCUGGGGAGUACGGCCGCAAGGUUAAAACUCAAAGGAAUUGACGGGGGCCCGCACAAGCGGCGGAGCAUGCGGAUUAAUUCGAUGCAACGCGAAGAACCUUACCAAGGCUUGACAUACACUGCGAUGUGCCAGAGAUGGUGCAGCCUUCGGGGUGGUGUACAGGUGGUGCAUGGUUGUCGUCAGCUCGUGUCGUGAGAUGUUGGGUUAAGUCCCGCAACGAGCGCAACCCUUGUCCUGUGUUGCCAGCAUGUUGUGGUGGGGACUCACGGGAGACUGCCGGGGUUAACUCGGAGGAAGGUGGGGAUGACGUCAAAUCAUCAUGCCCCUUAUGUCUUGGGCUUCACGCAU
RNAcentral lists this ribosomal RNA (1150 nucleotides) under Trueperella pyogenes. RNAcentral describes it as "bacterial SSU rRNA". It matches the Rfam family "Bacterial small subunit ribosomal RNA", at positions 67 to 1223 of the family's 1533-position model. Lineage: Bacteria; Bacillati; Actinomycetota; Actinomycetes; Actinomycetales; Actinomycetaceae. The record is from RNAcentral.